This 66-nucleotide transfer RNA is filed under the name Parachauliodes continentalis. RNAcentral's name for it is "tRNA-Asp". Lineage: Eukaryota; Metazoa; Arthropoda; Insecta; Megaloptera; Corydalidae. The record is from RNAcentral.
AAAGAAUUAGUUAAAUUAACAUUAGUAUGUCAAGCUAAAAUUAUUAGUAAAUCCUAAUAUUCUUUA